ACGUACGCUGGCGGCACGCCUAACACAUGCAAGUCGAACGAAGUAGCAAUACUUAGUGGCAGACGGGUGAGUAACAUGUAGGUAUCUGCCCUUUGGCCUGGAAUAACACGAGGAAACUUGUGCUAAUACCGGAUAAGUCUUUACGGAGAAAGCUUUAUGCACCAUUGGAUGAGCCUGCACUUGAUUAGUUUGUUGGUGGGGUAAUGGCCUACCAAGACUGUGAUCAAUAGCUGAUUUGAGAGGAUGAUCAGCCACAUUGGGACUGAGACACGGCCCAAACUCCUACGGGAGGCAGCAGUGGGGAAUCUUGCACAAUGGAGGAAACUCUGAUGCAGCGAUGCCGCGUGAGUGAAGAAGGCCCUUGGGUUGUAAAGCUCUUUCGUCGGGGAAGAAAAUGACUGUACCCGAAUAAGAAGGUCCGGCUAACUUCGUGCCAGCAGCCGCGGUAAUACGAAGGGACCUAGCGUAGUUCGGAAUUACUGGGCUUAAAGAGUUCGUAGGUGGUUGAAAAAGUUAGUGGUGAAAUCCCAGAGCUUAACUCUGGAACUGCCAUUAAAACUUUUCAGCUAGAGUAUGAUAGAGGAAAGCAGAAUUUCUAGUGUAGAGGUGAAAUUCGUAGAUAUUAGAAAGAAUACCAAUUGCGAAGGCAGCUUUCUGGAUCAUUACUGACACUGA
Molecule: ribosomal RNA, 675 nt
Filed under: alpha proteobacterium IMCC14237
Lineage: Bacteria; Pseudomonadati; Pseudomonadota; Alphaproteobacteria
Also listed under: 2 other names
Description: bacterial SSU rRNA
Rfam family: Bacterial small subunit ribosomal RNA
Source: RNAcentral